AAUAAAAAAAAUGUGAAGUGUCCGGACACCUCGAGCAGUUUUUGAGCAGAUAUGCAAUCUGUCUCAUUUUCUUCACAAAGUGUCCAGACACUUUAUGAGCCGUCCGGACACUCGACGAUAAAUUUCAUUUUAAAACACAUUGGGACAGUUCUAGGUUUAUUUCUUUCACUGGUUUUGACAGAGAGCGUCGAGAGAGAGAGAACCAAAGAGAAAAGAAGGAUUUUGGUGUGAAUCAAGGAGGAAGGAGCUUGAAUUGAAGAUUUUGGACUUUCUAAAGCUUGGUUUUCUAGAUUUCUUCAAGAUUGAGAUUUGAGCUUGGAUUGAAGUGUGGAGAUAGGAGGAGAGGUGGUUGUCCUAGGGUUUGAAGAUUUGGGCAAGGUUGAUUGGGCUUGGAAGAGUUGUGGUGUUUGGCCAAAACGAGGUGAUAUAGGUACUAGCGCUAGUGCUCCGACUACGGAUCAGCAGGGAGGAGCAUGACGCGGAUGGCCUGGACUUGUG
Molecule: long non-coding RNA, 498 nt
Organism: Tripterygium wilfordii
Lineage: Eukaryota; Viridiplantae; Streptophyta; Magnoliopsida; Celastrales; Celastraceae
Exons: 4
Source: RefSeq, a predicted model, not a curated record